CCAAAUAAGACCCCUAACCUCACCCUUAAUCUGUGCACAAGGUUAUCCAACAAGAUUAUCGUCCGAGGCACGAAAUCAUGAAGCAAUAACACUAGAACGAUCCCCACGACAUUGAGUUGAGUUGUUUGAAGAGUAGCUUGGGAGGUAUUAAGGACUCACCAUGGUUAAGGGACGCUGCCUUUUAUGCCUUCAAGUCCCAAUUGAUAGGUUGACAUUCCUCCUAGUAGGCUAUAAGCUCAGUGGAGGUGUUGGUGCACUCCACUUGUUCCGGAGUUGCCUAUUUGGUCAGUAUGCUUUGGAUAUGUAUUGAUUGAUAUGACGGGGCCCUGUCCCGACCUUUAUGAUUUUAUGUACUCUUAAAGGCUUAUUGACAGAUGUCAGGUUUAUGGAUACUUGUAUGGCCUUGUUGGCCUAAGUGUUGAGUUUACAAAUGGUCAUGUCGUCCUUAUAGGUCUGUAUGUCACAUGUAUGAGUUUCUACAUCAUAUUGGGUUGUCCUAUGUCUAGUAUUCCUUUAUGUUUAUUCUGGUUAUCUCAUGACGACCCUUUUGGCCCAUUUAUCCAUGAUAGUAUUAUAAGAAAUUAAAAGUUACGUUGGUACUCGGUUGAGUAAGGUACCGGGUGCCCGUCAUGGCCCUCCUAUUUUGGUCGUGACAAAAAUACCGAAAAUUUAAAAAUCAUAUAGGAGACUAGGAGUGUAGACUGGCCAGCGCCCCAGCCCAAGUGCUGACCCAAAAGCUAAAAUUUUAAUUUUUGGAGCCCAACCCAAUAACCCAAAAGUCUUUCACUUUCUUAAUUCAUACCCUAAGUCCUAACAUCUGAGAAACCUAAGAACUAAGAAGUAAAAACGACUGAGAGAGUGAGAAACCUAAGUAUGAACAAACGACUCGCAUGUGAGAUCACUGUCCGUCGUCUGCUGUCGCCACUCACCAGUGAGAUUGCCAGAUUGGCUGUCCGGCGUCCGCUCUCUGCUGUCAACUCUUCAAAUCAAGACUUCAAUAGGUUCAUAACUUUUCAAUUUUUUAUUCUUCAAUCUUCAUUUUUCUAAUUUGUCUCGAGAAACUCUCAUUUUAUGAUCUAAGUUUUGAAGUUUAGAUAGAACUAAUGUCCAUUUUCUCGGAUGCUCUGCGAAGUUUUGAAGUUUUGUAUUAUCGAUUUUUUUAUUGCUUUGAGGUGGCUGUGUUUUUUUUUGCUCUGUGAGUGGAACAGAUGAGCUCAUCCAUGCUCUUUCUCCAAGAUAUGCUUCUAGUAGUAUAUUAUAGUUCUAUCUUGCGUUCGAGGGAAUUUAGAUAUUUAGUAAUUGGAAGACUUGGAGGAUUUUAUGAUGUUGAUUAGUAAUGAAAUUGAUUUUCUCUGUUUGUGACUCGUCUCUGUGGACGCUUGCUGAAGUUACUUGUUACUAUGAAUUAGUUGGUGAUGUAUUAAGGGAAAAUUAAUUGUAAUUUGAGAUUUUUGUUAAAAAUGAUCAAUUUGUUUGU
Nicotiana tabacum (common tobacco) is the source of this 1477-nucleotide long non-coding RNA. RefSeq lists it as uncharacterized. NCBI's taxonomy places the organism in Eukaryota, Viridiplantae, Streptophyta, Magnoliopsida, Solanales, Solanaceae. The record is from RefSeq and is a predicted model, not a curated record.